RNAcentral lists this transfer RNA (72 nucleotides) under Candidatus Woesearchaeota archaeon. RNAcentral's name for it is "tRNA-Asn". It matches the Rfam family "tRNA". Rfam says of the family: Transfer RNA (tRNA) molecules are approximately 80 nucleotides in length. Their secondary structure includes four short double-helical elements and three loops (D, anti-codon, and T loops). The record is from RNAcentral. Lineage: Archaea; Nanobdellati; Candidatus Woesearchaeota.
GCCUCCGUAGCUUAGCGGUAGAGUGAACGGCUGUUAACCGUUUGGUCGUCGGUUCGAUCCCGACCGGAGGCG